AGGACGAACGCUGGCGGCGUGCUUAACACAUGCAAGUCGAGCGGAAAGGCCCUUCGGGGUACUCGAGCGGCGAACGGGUGAGUAACACGUGAGUAAUCUGCCCCUAGCUCUGGGAUAGCUCCGGGAAACCGGGAUUAAUACCGGAUACGACCACCUUAGACAUCUUUUGUGGUGGAAAGAAUUUCGGCUAGGGAUGAGCUCGCGGCCUAUCAGCUUGUUGGUGGGGUAACGGCCUACCAAGGCGACGACGGGUAGCCGGCCUGAGAGGGCGACCGGCCACGACUGGGACUGAGACACGGCCCAGACUCCUACGGGAGGCAGCAGUGGGGAAUCUUGCGCAAUGGACGAAAGUCUGACGCAGCAACGCCGCGUGGGGGAUGAAGCUUCUCGGAGUGUAAACCCCUUUCGACCCGGACGAAUGCCCGCAAGGGUUUGACGGUACGGGUAUAAGAAGCCCCGGCUAACUACGUGCCAGCAGCCGC
This 482-nucleotide ribosomal RNA is filed under the name uncultured bacterium. Its description in RNAcentral is "SSU rRNA". It matches the Rfam family "Bacterial small subunit ribosomal RNA", at positions 26 to 518 of the family's 1533-position model. The record is from RNAcentral.